This 3023-nucleotide long non-coding RNA is filed under the name Homo sapiens (human). Its description in RNAcentral is "HSALNT0119309". Lineage: Eukaryota; Metazoa; Chordata; Mammalia; Primates; Hominidae. The record is from RNAcentral.
AACAGAAAUGGAAUAAAAUUCCAAAAAAGCUGUAGUUUUUUCAUUUGGCUUGAAGUCAGUAUAGAGAAGUUAUUUAAAAUAAGAUUUUCGUCCCACGGAAUUGUCCCCUUUGUUAUUGUAUAUCCUUCAGGUUUAUGGGACAGCACUAGAGGAAAGUGACAGCCUCAGAGGACCUUCAGAUGGUGUCCUGGGUAGCUGAAACUGUGGAAAGCAAAACCGUGGAUAAGGGGGAACUACUAUACUGAAAAUGUACAAAACAGAGAAGAUUUCAUUGAAGAAGUCUGCUGUUUCUGGAAUGGGAAAUUAAGGGAGAGGUUCGUGAAGAAGUGAUUGGGAAAGAGAGCAAGUCUUGGUUGGACAGUGUGAUUCAAUAGAAAUGUGAGGAGGAAAACUGCAAUUAUUUCUGAACCUUCCCAUCAGCCUUGUCUCUGAUAGAAUUGGCCUGUUGUGGACGGGCUUUGUGUAGAUUAGAGAAAGAAGAAGAUGCUCUUUUGGUGUAAUUGUUCAGUUCCACAUGGCCGGGGAGGCCUCACGAUCAUGGCAGAAGGCAAGGAGGAGCAAGUCACAUCUUAUGUGGAUGGCAGCAGGCAAAGAGAGAGCGAGCUUGUGCAAGGAGACUCCCAUUUUUAAAACCAUCAGAUCUCGUGAGACUUAUUCACUAUCAGGAGAACAGCAAGCUAAAUCAGUGUGAGACCAAGGACCCUGGGGCUCCUCCAGUCAUUGCAGCUGUAUCACAACUACCCUGACAGAUUUCUUGCUCAGGGCAAGCCACCUGCCAUGUCUUGAGAACACUCAAGCAGCACAUGGCGAGGAAUGGAGAUGGACAGACAUGGGCCAGCAAGAAACAGGCUUGCCAACAACAGCUUGCGUGAUCCUGAAAGUGGGUCCUCUAGCCCCAUGUGACUGUUGCCCUGGCCAACAACUUAACUGCAACCUCAAGAGAUACCUACCCUGAGUCAGAACCACCCAGUCAAACUACCCCUGGCAUCUUAACUCAGAGUAACUGCCCCGUUGACUGGAGGAUGGCCAUUUGACAACACAUUAUUUCCUGAGGAAACUUUUGACUUCUGGUGACUUGGGCCCCAGGCUGGCUGAAUUUGCCAAGACCCGGCUUUGCCCUUGCAUGUGUGAAAAAUGGCCUCAAGUAUGACCCCAUGGCAAGAUGGAAAGAAACUGUGCUCUUGAAUAGCUUAGAGAUUCAGAGCCCCCCAACCAGCUUGAAACGCCCACCUCAAAACAAUGACAUGAGAAGAAACAAACCUCUAAUUUAAGCCACUGUCUUUUUAAGAGCAUUGUAGUUUGAGAUCUCUUUCUUUCAGCUGUUUAGUCCCCAGCUAAACACUUACUGACCUUAUCUUACAGGUCAAGAAAAAUGAAGUUCUGGGGUACAAGUCACUAAUGUAUUAGAAAUUUUCCAGCUCUCCCUCCUUGCCCAGCAGAGUAUAUUUCCACUCAAACACAAUGAACCCAUUUGGAAUGGGACAAAACAAAAUGGGGUGGGCCUGGAACAAGAGAAAGUUCAGCUACACAGGAUCCAGGUCAAAACUCUUUAAUCCUCCCAUUUCUGGAUUUCAAAUGAACACCUUUUUGUCUAGCAGUUCUCCUCCAGAGGUUUGCUUUCCCACAACAGCUUGUCAACAGUGUAAGAAGUUCAAAAAGAACUUUUGGGGUUGCACGUUGCAGGUUGUGUGGCAUCAUCCCAGCUUGUCUCAACACCUCUGAUGAACAGUAGCGGAAGAAAGGACUCUUUCCACAUGAGUUCCUCGGCGGUCCCCGUCUCUUAGGGAGUUUAUAAAAAAAUCCAUCAUCUUGUUCUACUAAACCCAAGUAAAUAUAAUUAACACCAAAUGUGUGUUCUGCUCAUCAAAUUGUACAGCCAUAAAGAGAUAAUCUUUGUAAAAUAAAUGACUAGGCUUCCUUGAUAAGUCAAUAAGGCAAAAACCUUGGGAGUAAAUUAAGACAAAUGGGAAACCAGCUGGAAGAAAUCAAACAGGCAAAGCAGGUGGGGUGGCUUGUGUUUGGGAAGAUAAAACACAGCAUGAAGCAUUUGCACAUUUACACAAAAGCAAGAUCUAUAACCUUAUGCUUUGAACUGAGCUAAAUGCAUGACUUAUUUAAGAAGAGCUGGUAGCUGGGAACUGGUUGAACUAAGAGUGUCAAGACCAAUUCUGAUGAUGUUUUCUUGUACUUUGCCUGUUUUUACAUGCUCUGAAGAUUGCCAAACAACCAGCAGCAGAUGGUCCUGUAUCUAAGUGCAAUGCUAAGUGGUGUGAGGGAUGGCAUGAUUGACCAUUUACUCAGAGGAGCAUAAAAGAAGGAAUUCUUGUUAAAAAUGCCUCUGUUGUAUCAAGUGGCUGUAAAACAGGCAAGAGGGCCAGAAUAGAAUUCUGGUAUAUCUACACUUCAAACAAGUUUACAAUGGAAGAAUGGCCUCCUCAAAACCCCAAACAGCUGGAAUCGGGCCAAUUAGUAGGAUUAUUGCAAAGACCAGACAUUUAUCAGGACCCUUUUGCAGAAACACAUGUGGGGCUGUAAGCGAUGCAUUUCCUGGCUUCUGACAUGAGCUAAACAUCUGUUCAAGGCAAGGCUGUAAUGAAACUGUGAGUUGGCUAUUCUUCCACAUUUCUUUGCAAUACCAAGGCAAGGCUGGAGCCCAGAAGGCACAACUGUCAGCCUCGUCAAGUGGAGGUUCUUUUGUAGGUCCCAAGGCAUCUGAGAGUGGAGAGUGAUUGGACUCGGGUGAAGACUCCAAGAUGGCGAUCGCCACCUCGGAUACCCUGACUCAGCAUUUCCGGGUUCACCUUUCCUGUUCCCGCCAACCCGACUAACGCGCAUGCCCACUAGGGCGUGUCACACAGAGAAGUGCGAAACUCAACCGACCCCGCCCCUACCCCGCCCACUCCUCACCCAGCAUCCAUAAAAGCGUGCUGCCCCUUUGGCACAGCGCGACUUCCCUGGCCCUCCCCCUGCGGACCAGUGAACCUCGCCCGAGAGCUCAAUAAAGAAGAUUUUUGCCCUCUUUG